Molecule: ribosomal RNA, 264 nt
Filed under: uncultured bacterium
Lineage: Bacteria
Description: partial 16S ribosomal RNA
Rfam family: Bacterial small subunit ribosomal RNA
Source: RNAcentral
GUCCACGCCGUAAACUAUGGGUGCUAGCUGUUUGAGGUAUCGACCCCUUGAGUAGCGAAGCUAACGCGUUAAGCACCCCGCCUGGGGAGUACGGUCGCAAGAUUAAAACUCAAAGGAAUUGACGGGGACCCGCACAAGCGGUGGAGCGUGUUGUUUAAUUGGAUGAUAAGCCAAGAACCUUACCCAGGUUUGAAAUCCUUCGAAUUUCUACGAAAGUAGAGAGUGCUUUAUUGAACGAAGUGACAGGUGAUGCAUGGCCGUCGU